This 1303-nucleotide long non-coding RNA is filed under the name Lactuca sativa (garden lettuce). RNAcentral describes it as "long non-coding RNA (LSAT_LNC006814)". Lineage: Eukaryota; Viridiplantae; Streptophyta; Magnoliopsida; Asterales; Asteraceae. The record is from RNAcentral.
GAUAAGUACCGGGCAUAAUGAAUUUCGUAGUAUAGUAUUUGUAAAAGUCGAGUAUGGUUGACGUAUUUAUAAAAGUAUAAAUUACUCGCUUUUAUGGAGAUAUGUAUUUUAACAUAAUGGUAUUGUACAAGUGUGUAAUGCCUAGUAUUCAGAUAUGGAAGUCUUUACAACUUUUAAAAUUGUAGCAUGUAUAUCAUAUAAGGCAUAUGUAUUUGCAUAAUAAAUACUAUUUAGCACAUGUAUUCUCCCCCAAGAAUAAAUAAAAUAUUAAAAAGGGGCCGUAACUCUCACCUUAUCGAGUGGUAAACGAGUAGUUCUGAAAGUCAAGAUGUGUCGCCGAGAGGUCGUGAUUUUCGGGAUAAAUCCAAUUUCCUAGAAAUAUUUGUUAUAAAUCAAUAUUUGGUAGAGAUUGGGUAUUUGAACUAGUAUAAUGAUUUAUAAAUUUUCUAAAUGUUUAUUAUCUCAAAAUUUAUUUAAAUAAUCCAUUUAAAUAAAUUUUUCUAAAAAUUUAAUUUAUUAUUAUUAUUAUAUUUUUCCAAAAAUACCUUAAAUAAACCAAGAAAAUUUAAGUUGAGAUAAUUUCACAAAAAUUUAUUUAUUCUAAAUUUUAUUUAAUAAACUAGUAUUUAUAAAAUUAUUUAUUUAAUAUUGUAUUAAAAUUGGAUUUGUUUUGAAAUGAUUUUUCCAUCUUAAAGUAAGUUUUUUUUUUUAAAAAAAAUUCUAUAUGAUAUUUCAUUAGUUAAUGAUUUAUUUUGAAAACCAUUUUGAUGGGAGGGUUUGAAGGCGGGUAAAUUCAAAAUAGAGGGACUGCAUGUAUUUAUUUUGUAUCAUAGUUUGUACAGUAACCAUUUUUUUAUAACAGGAGGCAUACUCCUCCUGUUCUUCUUCUCGUCGCAACUCAUAAACAAAACAAAAAAAAUUAAAGAUUGAUUUUUUUUUUGAUGAUUCUCGAUGCAAGAAAGAUUAAAAAAGUAAACCCAGGUGGUGAAGAUAGCUUACUGGGUGGAGGAGAUGGUGGCUGGCGGUGGCUUGAGGUGACAACAGUAGCGUCACAGUGGUGGUGGGUGAUGGCCGGCAGCCUCCUGCUGCCGUUUCCUGGCUUGGUUUGGCAGCUGGUCGACGGAAGGGAGAGAGGGCAGCUGCUGGGAGUGAUCAAGGGGGUGUUUGGUGUUGAUCUUGAUCAAGGAAGGUGGCUAGAAGUGGUAGAAUAAGGUGGUUUGGGUGGUGGUAAUGUUGUACCCGAGAGAUAGAUAUUGAGUGAGAGAGUGAAAAGAAGAGAUGGCUGAUGGGUUGUGUGAUUUUG